This is a non-coding RNA of Vicia faba (fava bean), 240 nucleotides long. NCBI's taxonomy places the organism in Eukaryota, Viridiplantae, Streptophyta, Magnoliopsida, Fabales, Fabaceae. The record is from the annotation of a GenBank genome assembly.
AUGGUUAGUUUAGAGUUAGAGAUAGUGGGUUUCUUUCAAAUUCCAUACUGUGGCAAUAUUCUAAUCUCUCUUUCAAGCUCUACUCACUAUAUUUGUACCAAUCACACUACUGAACUUCCCAAGCCAGAAGAGGCAGUUGAGCAUGUUGAUACAAAUACAAAAACAAUUACUGCAUCACCAUUCACAUAUAGUAUGCAGCCUGAAGAAGUGGAGUCAACUUUCUUCAAUAUACCGAAGUAA